GUCCUAGCCGUAAACGGUGUGCACUUGACGUGGGAGGAAUUAUCCCCUUCCGUGUCGUAGCUAACGCGAUAAGUGCACCGCCUGGGGAGUACGGUCGCAAGAUUAAACUCAAAGAAUUGACGGGGCCCGCACAAGCGGUGGAGCAUGUUGCUUAAUUCGAUGCAACGCGAAGAACCUUACCUGGGUUUGACAUGUGGCUGGAUGCUGCGGGAAACCGCGGAGGCUUUCGAGGCUGCCACACAGGUGCUGCAUGGCUGUCGU
This 261-nucleotide ribosomal RNA is filed under the name uncultured bacterium. RNAcentral's name for it is "partial 16S ribosomal RNA". It matches the Rfam family "Bacterial small subunit ribosomal RNA", at positions 793 to 1055 of the family's 1533-position model. The record is from RNAcentral.